AAUUUACGGAUUCCUCUUUGGUACAGUUCCCAUCUGGCUUUGAUGUGUGCAGUGUUUCUGCUUUCCUUAGGGGUUUAUCGAAGGCUCCCUCCAUCCGUACGGCCGGCAGCAGUGGUGAGUCCUACCCUGGGCCAUACCACCAACUUCUGUCGGCUUCCACUUGAGGACCUGGUGGUGACACUGGGUUCACCUGGAGUCUUCAGAUCAGCUGAUCAGCAACAUCAGUUCCCUAACACAGCUUCUAGGAAUUAGGACAUGGGCAUCUUUGUGGGAGAACAUCACCCUGCCCAGUACAGAAUUUAUGCAAAGCAUAUAGUAGCACCGACUGGUGAGUGACUGAAUGCUUCCCUCUAAAAUCCCACAAGGCACAGAUGUCCACAACAUGCAGUAAGGCACAUGGUAAGACAGGAUUAUAAACCUACAGAAAGGAAAAAAGUAAAAAUGUCCUUGUUCACACACGAGACAACCGUAUACACAGCAGAUCAUAAGGAAUACAGAUUCACGUGCACCUGGAAUGGGAAAGCCCUGCAGAGUCCUGAGAUACAAGAUUAUAAAUUCAUUGUAUUUCUGUAUACUAACAGUCCAUCAGUGAAGUUAA
This is a long non-coding RNA of Fukomys damarensis (Damara mole-rat), 598 nucleotides long. RefSeq lists it as uncharacterized. Lineage: Eukaryota; Metazoa; Chordata; Mammalia; Rodentia; Bathyergidae. The transcript is spliced from 2 exons. The record is from RefSeq and is a predicted model, not a curated record.